AUUGAACGCUGGCGGCAGGCCUAACACAUGCAAGUCGAACGAGUGGCGGACGGGUGAGUAAUGUCUGGGAAACUGCCCGAUGGAGGGGGAUAACUACUGGAAACGGUAGCUAAUACCGCAUACCAUCGGAUGUGCCCAGAUGGGAUUAGCUUGUAGGUGGGGUAACGGCGCACCUGGGCGACGAUCCCUAGCUGGUCUGAGAGGAUGACCAGCCACAGUGGAACUGAGAAACGGUCCAGACUUCUACGGGAGGCAGCAGUGGGGAAUAUUGCACAAUGGGCGAAAGCCUGAUGCAGACAUGCCGCGUGGAUGAAGAAGGCCUUCGGGUUGUAAAGUACUUUCAGCGGGGAGGCGUUACCCGCAGAAGAAGCACCGGAUAACUCCGUGCCAGCAGCCGCGGUAAUUC
This 406-nucleotide ribosomal RNA is filed under the name uncultured bacterium. RNAcentral describes it as "partial 16S ribosomal RNA". It matches the Rfam family "Bacterial small subunit ribosomal RNA", at positions 30 to 526 of the family's 1533-position model. The record is from RNAcentral.